RNAcentral lists this long non-coding RNA (426 nucleotides) under Vombatus ursinus (common wombat). Its description in RNAcentral is "lncRNA (ENSVURG00010003433.1)". The record is from RNAcentral. Lineage: Eukaryota; Metazoa; Chordata; Mammalia; Diprotodontia; Vombatidae.
AGUUGGUUUAUUAAGAAUUCAUCUCUUCCUGCUGUUUACGGGUUGCCUAAAGUUCCACUCCCCCACAUGUGACAUCACCACCGAUGACUAGAUUGCGCCAACAUUCUGUAAGCGGCAGGUGAAAGAGGCAGCAAAGAAGCCACAAAGAAGUCUUAAGAGACAGCAAUGAUUGUCUUCGGCUCCUAUCUAUCCACAGAGUAAACUCAACCACCUCUUCUAUGCCCUGAAAGAAGCCCAGAUGGUUGUUUCUCAGCUGCAGGAAAAGGUGUACCCUCUCUAAUAGUCUACCAGUACCUGUGAUCACAUCUCCUUCAGCCCCUAUUUUCACCAUAGACACAACCAUGACUUCAACACUAACCCCAGACACACUAGGACUCUCCUCACAUCCCAUUUAAAGGUGAAGCACUCUCUCCUGCCUUCCUCCCG